RNAcentral lists this unclassified non-coding RNA (497 nucleotides) under Hevea brasiliensis (rubber tree). The record is from RNAcentral. Lineage: Eukaryota; Viridiplantae; Streptophyta; Magnoliopsida; Malpighiales; Euphorbiaceae.
GAAAACUCAAAUUUCUCCUUUUAGAUGUAGCACAAUCUACUAUUGGAGAGUGAUGUGGGAGGCUAAGGAGAGCAACAGAGAAUAGAAUCAGUGCAACACAACUCAGAGCAAGUUACGUGAAAUCUACUUCAAGCUGUGGUGGGUUCAGGAGUUGGUCUGAGUUGACCCAUCGAGUUUUAAAGCUGAGGUGUCGGAAUGGGUUUCCAACCGUGAGAAUGGGUAGAUUGGUGACUGGAGAGCUGUUAGAAUUGAUCAGGUGCUAGAAAAGCCUGAAAAAUUUGCAGGUCCAAAUUCAGUUCAAAUUUGACCUGGUCAAAUCUUCUUUUUCGAGAAGCUGCAGGUGAUCAGAACAGUGUCCGAAGGGUCGCUUGGUGCCGGUGAGUGCUGUGUCAAUGGUGGCGAGCCUGCCUGGUAGCCAGACGGUGGUCGAUAUGUGAGAAGGAUGCUCUCAGUGAUGGGUUUCUAUUUCUCGCGACUCGAUUUCUUUCUUUCUUUUU